UUUUCCUUUUUGAUGUUAAUCUUCUUGGUAAACUGGCACACACAUGUUCUCGUUGAAUGUGUUGGAACUGCUCCUAGCCGAUAAGCUAACUCAUUGUUUCGGUUUUUGCACAUUUUCAGUUUUUGAAAGAAUGUUUUGUGUUUAAAAAGCAUUUAUUUGAUAAUUUAACAAGUGCAUUCAUAGUGAUAAGCACUGCAUAAAUAAAAAGUGGAGCAAAAGAAAUGAAAAAUUUUAAGGCACUAGUCACACUUGCAAAUUGUGACUGCAGUAAAAAUACUGUCACGCCAACUGACAGAAAGCACGACGGAAACACCAAAAACCUCUUUCAUGCACUUCCAAAAACAAAACAAAUUUUCAAGUGGCCUGCAGGGAACAAUCAAUCAUUUGCAUUUUUUGCAACAUAACCAGAAAAGCACCCCAACCGACUUCCUGUCAAGAGGAGGAACUUCCUGUUAAACGGCCAUCUUGAACAUCAGUUCAAUACAUGCUGUGGAGGACAAAGGAAGAAUGUUUGUUGAGAGCAAAAGCUUAAAGAAACAAGCAAACCAAGAAAACUAAAAUCCCUCAGUUCACCGUCAAACGCAACUGGUUUUCAACCUGAAUGACUGUAUGACCCCUUCACCAAUCAAAUCAAGAAAACAAAUUUCAAUAAUAAACAUAAAAAAAGGGGAAAUCCUUGUUCUGAGUUGUUCCUUGCUGACUGGGCUCUUUCAAGUGGAGCAUUACUGAGGGAAAAAAA
Long non-coding RNA from Fundulus heteroclitus (mummichog), 739 nucleotides. RefSeq lists it as uncharacterized. The transcript has 2 exons. Lineage: Eukaryota; Metazoa; Chordata; Actinopteri; Cyprinodontiformes; Fundulidae. The record is from RefSeq and is a predicted model, not a curated record.